ACUGAACUAUUGUAGCUUAGUCUCAUUUUGGUUGGAUGGACCCUACAGUGUUCUGUAACUGAACUAUUGUAGCUCAGUCUCAUUUUGGUUGGAUGGACCCUACAGUGUUCUGUAACUGAACUAUUGUAGCUCAGUCUCAUUUUGGUUGGAUGGACCCUACAGUGUUCUGUAACUGAGAGGGUUUGUGUAUUUGUUGUGUAUAACUAGUGUGACUCGUACAACCUGUGCUGCCUGCUUUGUCACUUUCAAAUGUCACUCCUCUCUCUUUAGAGGGAGGUAGCUACUAGCUAGGUAGCGUGUUGUGUUCCAGGCUAGAGGGUGGUAGCUAUUAGCUAGGUAGCGUGUUGUGUUCCAGGCUAGAGGGUGGUAGCUACUAGCUAGGUAGCGUGUUGUGUUCCAGGCUAGAGGGUGGUAGCUACUGGCUACUGUUAGAUAUGUCAUGGAUAUAUGACGCUCACUCUCUCAGCUCACUGCAGGUUCUACAGGUUUACAUGCAGUGUGUCCUGCCAGUGCUUUCACACCACCAUCAACCAGGCUUUAAUGUAUCCAGAACGGUCACAGCGUCACACCAACUGCUAGGCUAAACUCCAUGAUCUCAACCUAUUGUUCACUCACACAUCCCCUCUUCAACACAGUGACC
RNAcentral lists this long non-coding RNA (640 nucleotides) under Salmo salar (Atlantic salmon). Its description in RNAcentral is "lncRNA (ENSSSAG00000118475.1)". The record is from RNAcentral. Lineage: Eukaryota; Metazoa; Chordata; Actinopteri; Salmoniformes; Salmonidae.